RNAcentral lists this ribosomal RNA (1370 nucleotides) under uncultured bacterium. RNAcentral's name for it is "bacterial SSU rRNA". It matches the Rfam family "Bacterial small subunit ribosomal RNA", at positions 28 to 1381 of the family's 1533-position model. The record is from RNAcentral.
GAUGAACGCUGGCGGCGUGCCUAAUACAUGCAAGUCGAGCGAACGGACGAGAAGCUUGCUUCUCUGAUGUUAGCGGCGGACGGGUGAGUAACACGUGGAUAACCUACCUAUAAGACUGGGAUAACUUCGGGAAACCGGAGCUAAUACCGGAUAAUAUUUUGAACCGCAUGGUUCAAAAGUGAAAGACGGCCUUGCUGUCACUUAUAGAUGGAUCCGCGCUGCAUUAGCUAGUUGGUAAGGUAACGGCUUACCAAGGCAACGAUGCAUAGCCGACCUGAGAGGGUGAUCGGCCACACUGGAACUGAGACACGGUCCAGACUCCUACGGGAGGCAGCAGUAGGGAAUCUUCCGCAAUGGGCGAAAGCCUGACGGAGCAACGCCGCGUGAGUGAUGAAGGUCUUCGGAUCGUAAAACUCUGUUAUUAGGGAAGAACAUAUGUGUAAGUAACUGUGCACAUCUUGACGGUACCUAAUCAGAAAGCCACGGCUAACUACGUGCCAGCAGCCGCGGUAAUACGUAGGUGGCAAGCGUUAUCCGGGAUUAUUGGGCGUAAAGCGCGCGUAGGCGGUUUUUUAGUCUGAUGUGAAAGCCCACGGCUCACCGUGGAGGGUCAUUGGAAACUGGAAAACUUGAGUGCAGAAGAGGAAAGUGGAAUUCCAUGUGUAGCGGUGAAAUGCGCAGAGAUAUGGAGGAACACCGGUGGCGAAGGCGACUUUCUGGUCUGUAACUGACGCUGAUGUGCGAAAGCGUGGGGAUCAAACAGGAUUAGAUACCCUGGUAGUCCACGCCGUAAACGAUGAGUGCUAAGUGUUAGGGGGUUUCCGCCCCUUAGUGCUGCAGCUAACGCAUUAAGCACUCCGCCUGGGAAGUACGACCGCAAGGUUGAAACUCAAAGGAAUUGACGGGGACCCGCACAAGCGGUGGAGCAUGUGGUUUAAUUCGAAGCAACGCGAAGAACCUUACCAAAUCUUGACAUCCUUUGACAACUCUAGAGAUAGAGCCUUCCCCUUCGGGGGACAAAGUGACAGGUGGUGCAUGGUUGUCGUCAGCUCGUGUCGUGAGAUGUUGGGUUAAGUCCCGCAACGAGCGCAACCCUUAAGCUUAGUUGCCAUCAUUAAGUUGGGCACUCUAAGUUGACUGCCGGUGACAAACCGGAGGAAGGUGGGGAUGACGUCAAAUCAUCAUGCCCCUUAUGAUUUGGGCUACACACGUGCUACAAUGGACAAUACAAAGGGCAGCGAAACCGCGAGGUCAAGCAAAUCCCAUAAAGUUGUUCUCAGUUCGGAUUGUAGUCUGCAACUCGACUACAUGAAGCUGGAAUCACUAGUAAUCGUAGAUCAGCAUGCUACGGUGAAUACGUUCCCGGGUCU